RNAcentral lists this ribosomal RNA (406 nucleotides) under uncultured Enterobacteriaceae bacterium. RNAcentral's name for it is "bacterial SSU rRNA". It matches the Rfam family "Bacterial small subunit ribosomal RNA", at positions 1 to 425 of the family's 1533-position model. Lineage: Bacteria; Pseudomonadati; Pseudomonadota; Gammaproteobacteria; Enterobacterales; Enterobacteriaceae. The record is from RNAcentral.
UCGGCUUAGAGUUUGAUCAUGGCUCAGAUUGAACGCUGGCGGCAGGCUUAACACAUGCAAGUCGAACGGUAAAGUAGCUUGCUACUUACGAGUGGCGGACGGGUGAGUAACGUAUGGGAAUUUACCGAAUGGAGGGGGACAACAGUUGGAAACGGCUGCUAAUACCGCAUAACGUCGAGAGACCAAAGGGUUCGCUUGCCAUUUGAUGAGCCCAUAUGAGAUUAGCUAGUUGGUGUGGUAAUGGCUCACCAAGGCGACGAUCUCUAGCUGGUUUGAGAGGAUGACCAGCCACACUGGGACUGAGACACGGCCCAGACUCCUACGGGAGGCAGCAGUGGGGAAUAUUGCACAAUGGGGGGAACCCUGAUGCAGCCAUGCCGCGUGUAUGAAGAAGGCCUUAGGGUUG